UGUGUCGGUAGCAUAAAAGGCAAUGCACGGGGUUCCCUACCCCGAAUCUGGUUCGACUCCAGCCGCACGAC
RNAcentral lists this transfer RNA (71 nucleotides) under Hafnia psychrotolerans. Its description in RNAcentral is "tRNA-Gly". It matches the Rfam family "tRNA". Rfam says of the family: Transfer RNA (tRNA) molecules are approximately 80 nucleotides in length. Their secondary structure includes four short double-helical elements and three loops (D, anti-codon, and T loops). Further hydrogen bonds mediate the characteristic L-shaped molecular structure. tRNAs have two regions of fundamental functional importance: the anti-codon, which is responsible for specific mRNA codon recognition, and the 3' end, to which the tRNAs corresponding amino acid is attached (by aminoacyl-tRNA synthetases). tRNAs cope with the degeneracy of the genetic code in two manners: having more than one tRNA (with a specific anti-codon) for a particular amino acid; and 'wobble' base-pairing, i.e. permitting non-standard base-pairing at the 3rd anti-codon position. The record is from RNAcentral. Lineage: Bacteria; Pseudomonadati; Pseudomonadota; Gammaproteobacteria; Enterobacterales; Hafniaceae.